RNAcentral lists this ribosomal RNA (373 nucleotides) under uncultured bacterium. Its description in RNAcentral is "bacterial SSU rRNA". It matches the Rfam family "Bacterial small subunit ribosomal RNA", at positions 28 to 404 of the family's 1533-position model. The record is from RNAcentral.
GACGAACGCUGGCGGCGUGCUUAACACAUGCAAGUCGAGCGGUAAGGCCCUUUCGGGGGUACACGAGCGGCGAACGGGUGAGUAACACGUGGGUGACCUGCCUCUAGCUCUGGGAUAAGCCCGGGAAACUGGGUCUAAUACUGGAUAUGACUCCAUGACGCAUGUUGUGGGGUGAAAGCCUUGUGCGGCUAGAGAUGGGCCCGCGGCCUAUCAGCUUGUUGGUGGGGUGAUGGCCUACCAAGGCGACGACGGGUAGCCGGCCUGAGAGGCGACCGGCCACACUGGGACUGAGACACGGCCCAGACUCCUACGGGAGGCAGCAGUGGGGAAUCUUGCGCAAUGGGCGAAAGCCUGACGCAGCGACGCCGCGUGA